RNAcentral lists this ribosomal RNA (303 nucleotides) under uncultured bacterium. RNAcentral describes it as "partial 16S ribosomal RNA". It matches the Rfam family "Bacterial small subunit ribosomal RNA", at positions 507 to 807 of the family's 1533-position model. The record is from RNAcentral.
AGCAGCCGCCGCGGUAAAACGAAGGGUGCAAGCGUUAAUCGGAAUUACUGGGCGUAAAGCGUGCGUAGGCGGUUUGUUAAGUCUGCUGUGAAAUCCCCGGGCUCAACCUGGGAAUGGCAGUGGAUACUGGCAAGCUAGAGUGUGUCAGAGGAUGGUGGAAUUCCCGGUGUAGCGGUGAAAUGCGUAGAGAUCGGGAGGAACAUCAGUGGCGAAGGCGGCCAUCUGGGACAACACUGACGCUGAGGCACGAAAGCGUGGGGAGCAAACAGGAUUAGAUACCCCAGUAGUCCCUGUCUCUUAUAC